This is a non-coding RNA of Pelobates cultripes (western spadefoot toad), 232 nucleotides long. Lineage: Eukaryota; Metazoa; Chordata; Amphibia; Anura; Pelobatidae. The record is from the annotation of a GenBank genome assembly.
CCAGACUGGACAGUCCCUCCUCCCGCGCCCCCUGGGGCCGCCAUUCGCAGCUUGUCCCCUUGUGCGCGAGCCAAGUAACCAGCCCCUACCUUCCGCCAACCAGGCACGUGGCGUGCCUGCACCCGAUACCUGAACAGUGAUACGAAUCGCCGCCAUCGGCGUACCUCCUGAACCGAGGACCCGGCUGGAUGGUAAACCACACGAACCCCGUCGUAUUGUGCGUGAAUUAUGA